GACGUAGGGCGCGAGCGUUGUCCGGAUUUAUUGGGCGUAAAGAGCUCGUAGGCGGCUUGUUGCGUCGUUCGUGAAAUCCCGUGGCUCAACUGCGGGCUUGCGGACGAUACGGGCAGGCUAGAAUUCGGUAGGGGAGACUGGAAUUCCUGGUGUAGCAGUGAAAUGCGCAGAUAUCAGGAGGAACACCGGUGGCGAAGGCGGGUCUCUGGGCCGAUAUUGACGCUGAGGAGCGAAAGCGUGGGGAGCGAACAGG
Molecule: ribosomal RNA, 253 nt
Filed under: uncultured bacterium
Lineage: Bacteria
Description: partial 16S ribosomal RNA
Rfam family: Bacterial small subunit ribosomal RNA
Source: RNAcentral